This is a non-coding RNA of Pelobates cultripes (western spadefoot toad), 590 nucleotides long. Lineage: Eukaryota; Metazoa; Chordata; Amphibia; Anura; Pelobatidae. The record is from the annotation of a GenBank genome assembly.
GGGUGCACUUAAUGUGACAGCGGUGAAUUACGGGUGAACAGACAUAGCGCAAAUUCCAGUUUUUGUUUACGUUUUGAUCAGAACGUGUACUAUUGACUCCGUCCUGAAGGGGUUAAAGAAUCCCUCUGUUACAACAGUAUAUUAACUUAACCAAAACCAGAUUUUAAAUAUCAGCCUCCUAAGGAUAACAUACAGAGGAUAAUCCUCCAAUAGUCACACUUCACUUUAAUUGCUGACCCUGUUGCAGCAAUUAGUGAUUAUUGAAAACCAUAUUAGCUAAUCACUGUGUAGCAGCUAUUUUGAGCCAGAAAGGAAACUUAAAAUUUCCAAAUAGCAUAUACUUUUACAUAAUUCUAUCUAAUACCCUUUAUAGGCUUUACUCAAAGAAUAAUCUAUUUUGGGCCCGAUCUACUAAGUGCUUACCCUUCCAAAGCACUUUGUUUUAAGGUUUUGGUAAUAAUCUUUAAGUGAUGAGAAGCUAAAAACUCUCCAACUUAGAAACAUUUGCACUUUUUUAGCUUAUCCACCUUGCAGCACAGAUAAUUAACUUAUUCAGGCUAGAGUCAUUUAAGAUAAAGCAAAAAGGCUUA